GUGCUGGACAUCUAUAGUCAGGCGACAGGGCAACACGUGAACUAUGCAAAAUCAUCGAUCUACUUUAGCAAGGGUGUGCUAGAUAGUGUUCGACAUGAUAUCAAGAGCUUGCUUAAUGUGCCCAAUGAGACUCUAAAUGAGAAAUACCUUGGUAUGCCUUCAGAUGUUAGGAGCUCUAAGAAUGGGGCUUUUAAAUACCUGAAAGAUCGCCUUUGGAGCAAGGUACAAGGAUGGAUUGGGAUGACGUUAUCCACUGCGGGAAAGGAGGUGCUUGUUAAAUCAGUGGCCUAG
This 291-nucleotide ribosomal RNA is filed under the name Triticum aestivum (bread wheat). Its description in RNAcentral is "partial small subunit ribosomal RNA". Lineage: Eukaryota; Viridiplantae; Streptophyta; Magnoliopsida; Poales; Poaceae. The record is from RNAcentral.